RNAcentral lists this long non-coding RNA (748 nucleotides) under Hordeum vulgare. RNAcentral's name for it is "long non-coding RNA (HVUL_LNC013065)". Lineage: Eukaryota; Viridiplantae; Streptophyta; Magnoliopsida; Poales; Poaceae. The record is from RNAcentral.
AUACUGCCAAAAUUCAAAUAUGAAGCUAGAUGCACUCAAAAAUUAACUUAACUAAUGUUUCGAAACUGUUCCAAGAUUGUUGACAAGUAGGUGACUUAACCACCAAAAAUCGCAAAGUACAGCAUAAAUGUCACAAGAACCAUCUAACAUGAACUCCCUCUGCUUGAAUCGUUAAUUCAGUAAUGGCCAAAAUAUCCAACUCCAUGGCAAAUAGAUACCUAUAAUAGUUGAACAAGAUGCAUAUCAAUAUAUAUCUUAGAACAACUAUGCUAAUAGUUUGGAACAAUAGACGACAGAAGUAUCAAUGUUCAAAAAAGCGGUAAGCGUAAGCGGAGCGGAAGGCCACAGCUUAGAGCAACGGCCGCUUAAGCGCAGCUUAACCUGGAUUAAGCGGUUCUUUUAAUUUGCCAGAAUGUGGCCGUUUUUGAAUAAUAUGCCAAAAAAUAGGAAACAUAGCACAUAUAGAUAACUGAAAGUCUGAAAUAGCACAUAAGGAUAAGGUUUAGUGGUUCACACAGCAAGCAUAAAUGCAUAAUAAUGUUUUUAUAAGAUAAAUGGCAGCAGCUCAAGCGUAAGUGCGUCCAGUCACCAGUUCAUCUUUAUCAUCCUCAUCCUCGUACUCUAUCUCUUCCGCUGAAUCUGUCUCCUCUAGUUCUUCUUCGUCGGACUCAAACUCUUCAUCAUGGAGAUCUAUGGAUAAUGCAUCAAUGGAUCAGAGAAGGAGGAGAGGAGAGGACGAGAUCCUCAC